Molecule: non-coding RNA, 73 nt
Organism: Podarcis lilfordi (Lilford's wall lizard)
Lineage: Eukaryota; Metazoa; Chordata; Lepidosauria; Squamata; Lacertidae
Source: the annotation of a GenBank genome assembly
GCAGCAGAGCUCAGUGGGUAGAGCAUGAGUCUCUUUGAUCUCAGGCCCCUGGGUUCGAGCCCCAGGCUGGGCA